GGGAGCUCCGAAGGAGGCACGCCCUCCUUGCUUUUAUUUCGGGGAGAGGAGCAGCUAGGCACUCUGGAGCCCAGUGAAAAAACGGUUCAUUUUCAGAUGUGUUAAUUCCAAAAACCUGCUGUGAGUUUUCCUGGCCAGCCCUCCUCUUCCCCCUCGUCUACUUUACUGUUGCCUCCCCACUGCUCGCGUCUGCUCCCUUCCCACACUCGCACCUCGGCUUUGGGAUGACGGGGUACCAGUUGUGAUUCGUACAUUUGUGUGUGAUCCUGUUUGUCCUGGAAAGGCACGGAAUAGGUGCCUGGCUGCUAUUUGUAUUUUUGAAUGAAAGAAAGAGCGAAUGAGCUUUGAGGCUGGUGGGUGGUGCGUCUCAGAGCCAGGAGGCAUCACGCGGAGGACACCAGGCUUGGCCGACCCUGGCUGCACACUGCCCUCUACAGGCAGCUCUCAGGCUGCAGCCCAGCUCGCUCCUCUGCUUGGAGCCCUGGUGGCAGGUCCUCCAGCCUCGGCGCUUGUCAUCCCUGAACCCAGCCCCCCUGUGUUUCCUCGUGAACACAAGGGGAUGGCCCAGGACCAGCUUGCUUAGAACCCCCUUGGCUCCCUGAAUUCAUGUUCACAGCAGCUGGUGUUGGUCAUUGAUGUGGUUGUGUGUGUGUGUGUGCCCUGGGUUGUGUGUGUGAACGUGCACUUGGGUGCAAGGGAGUGAGAAGAUGCAGAGCCAUGCAUGUGCCAGUGGUCAGGUGCUGUGGUCAUUCAGGACCAGCUGCAUGGGGCCGCCUUGUGGUAAGUGACAAAAUAUAAAGUAAUGGUUCAAAGCUGGACUUUGGACCCAGGCUAGCUGGUUUCCAAUUACAACUAUGCAACUUUCUGUCCUUGUGAUCCUGAGCAUGUAAUUAACUCCUUUGCUUUGGUGUCUCCAUCUAUGAAGAAGGUCAUGAUAUUGUCUCCCUCCAAGUACAGGGAUUAAAUGAGUGCUAAUGGGUCAGGUGCUUUGAACAACCCCUGGUGUAUAAUAAGCAUUCAGGAGGUGUUUGCUGUUGCUGUUAUUGUCCAUCAGCGGCUGGCUGUGGCUGUGGCAGCGUAUUGGAGCCACAGACAUUUGGCUUUAUUUUAGAAGCCCUAGCCCAAGGAGAGCAGGCCAUAGAAGGCAUGGGGGAGUAGAAGGAGAGUUUCAUGGCCCCUGGAUGCUGGCAGUGGGGAGGCAUAGCACCUCCUUCUCCCUUUGAGCUGGGGGUGGGUGGUCCAGUCCCAGAGAAGGCAGCCAGGCUGGGCUGGCUCCUGUAUGACUUGUCUUCCUGCCAGCAGUCUACUUGGCAGGCCUCUGGGCAGAGGGAGAUGUAUAAAUAGCUGGUGGCCCACGUGCCCCCCCCCCCAUCGACAGCCCAGGUGACUCCUACCUCUUUUUCCGGAGACUCGGGCCUCCUCCCCUUGGUCCUCCACUUGCCGCCACACUCCCAUCCAUCCCCAUGGCGCCCCGCCUUCACUUUGUUUACCGAUAUCCAUUUAGCAUUGGCCUAAACUGUGUACUCAGUGCUUUAGAGUCCUUAGACCCUGGAUUGGUACAACAUCCAAUCUGCCCAUUGUACAGAUAGGGAAACUAGGCUUAGAGAGGGAGCCACUUGCCCAGGGGCACACAACUCAGAAGGGGCAGAGUGGAGACUUAUAUCCGGGAUGAGAGACCCCAAAGCCUUGGCCUGCUCUGCCAUAGACUCUUCCCCACCUUCAAUCUGAUUCCUGGUGAUCUCGAGUCCUGGUUUGUUUUCUGGAAAAACAGUAGAUGGCAAAGAAAUCAGAGCGAUUCAUUUGUAUCCUGGGCCUCCUGGGGGAGGCGUGAGGACCUUUCUGCAGACUUCCCUUUUGUGCAUAAGUUUGGAAAGGCUCCAGGUCUUGCCAGUCAAGCCUCUGUCUCACCCUUUGUGGCCCUGGGCCCCCUUGAGUCUCGGUUUCCUUGUGUGGACAAUGGCCCUGGCCUUACCCUCCAUGCAGACCAGAUCCUGGUUGUGCAACCGUGGUGAGACAGGCACAAGUUGCUGAGCACACGUGGGUUUCCUCCCCACCAGCAGUGACCGUUACUAUAGCUCUGGUUUCAUUCUCAAGUCUCCAGUUCAAAACGAAACCAAAUCCAGACGCAGAAAGGGAAAAAGAAACAUGCUGAUUGACAAGCAUCUGUCUGCCGGGCUCCCGGGAAGCUGGGCAGCAUGGGAACCCUGAGGAGUUUGGACUCCAAUGGGCCGUGAGACCCCAGCCGAGCAGCCUGCUCUCUCUGGGCCUCAGAAGGGCAUUGGAAAUUUGGCACCUCACAGAGCAGCACAGAAACAAAACCUGAAGCAGGGUGCCAGGCACGGAGCAAAGUGAUGAGCAGGAGUGGCUUCUUGUCACGGGGCGGUUGGGUCAGCCCUAGGUCCACAGCUUGUCUGGCCACGGCCAGACAUGUGGGCUGCUUUUCCCCCCACCCCACCCCCCUGGCAGCUGAGAAGUGAGAGGUCCAGUCAGUAGCUGGGGCGGGGGGCGGUCAUGGGUUUGGUGCUCAGAGCUCAGUUUUUUCAGUUUCUUUUUCUAGCUUUGGCAAAGUCCUGCUGGGAAAAGCAGCCCCUGGUUAGGUCUUGUAAUCUUGAAACCGCCCUGUGCUCCAGGGCUCCUCAGCCUUUCUUUACAGCCAAGAUUCCCAUGGGAGUCUGUGCUUCUGGGGAGCCCUGAGCUGUGGGGUUUGGAGCAUGGAUUCUGCUGUCAGCUGGCCUGGGUUUAAAUCCAUCGCUUAGUGAGCACAUGGCCCGAGGCCAGCUUCCUAGCGUCUCUGUACUUCAGUUUCCUCAUCUGCAAGGUAGGGUAAUUACGCUUACUUCACCAUUUCAGUAUUUAUUCAGUAGGUUUUUAUUGAGUGCUUCCUGUCUGCCAGGCACUAGGACUCAGGGGUCUUCAGGGAGACCCCAAGAGUGAAUUCUCAUGGUCAUUUCAGACCAUGGUAAGUGCUCUGGGAAGAUAAACAGGGAAAAGGGGGCAGCGAGGUGUGGAGACAGGAGUGAGGUGAGGCAGACAGGGCAGGUUGGAGCUGAGGCCUUUCUAAAAGCGGGAUGAAAAGGAUUCCAGGGAGAGAGAACCACCAGUGCAAAGGCCCUGUGGUGGGAGUGAUUGGCGGAGCUGAGGAUCAUAAAGGAGACAUGUAUAGUUGGUGUAGGGAGCAAGGGGUGAGUGCAGGGGUGAGGUAUAGAGGUUGAGGGGGUCCAAUUGAUGGGACAAGGUUUUGUUGGGACGUGGGAGGGGUUUGGAUUUCACCCUGACUGCAGGAGACACUACCGGGUUGGGUGUGGAAAAAAACUCCGGCUGCUGACUUCCUGGACAGCUUGGGGCUCUAGCCACAGUGGUGACAGUGGGGGCCUUGGGACAUACCUCAUGAUGGUCCGUGCCCCCCACCCCCGUGUCACCACACUAGUUCCUGAAAUGGGUGCAAAGACAGUCCUCAGGGACAGCCAGGACAUGCAUCCGACCUGAGUUCUGGGGUCAGCCCUCCCUUCCCAGGAGACCCUGGAAGUGGAGGCACUGUUUGCGGAGCCCGCUCUGGGCCAGGCGAGGGUGUCUUGUUCACUCUCGCCCAUGGUUCUGUGACUUGGAAAUUCUGUGUCUCCAUGUACUAGGCGAGGAAGGUACUUCUCUGGGGGCUGGUGGAAGAGCUUCGAGUAUUUUGGAGAGCCCGGGGGCUGGGCUGCAUCCCACUCGGAGGCCUCUUUCUCCAGACAGGUUGCUUCGUUACCUCGGGUGGAACCUUGUCCCCACAACAGGAAAAAUAGUGUGUUUCGGUGGUGAGAAGGGGCGUGCAGCUGGGGACACUUGAGCCCAAGGAGAAGGCUCUCGUCGGACAGAGGACUUAUGGCCUGAGCUGGUGGCUGGGCCCCCAGAUCCUGGGGAGACUUGGUGAGGACAUUCCAGCAAGCCUCUUCAACCCACAUGGCGGAUGAAGGCGGGAGAGAUGAGGUCGGAGCUUACGGGCAGUACCCAGUACUCACCAGCUUUCAGAAAGCAGAGCAGGUGCUGGGACUGGGUCAGAAACUCCAGAAGAGGAAAGCAGACUUCUGAAACUCUGGUUAUGGGGUCCAGACACGGACCCAGGUCCCCACCCGCCCCCGCCCCAUUGUAGCUUCCGGCACAUCACCUUCAUCUAGUGGCCGCAAGAACCGUCCGAAAACCUAAGCCUGGCAGGCCCAGUGCCUUUUCCUCAGUCAGUCUCGCAGCACCUCGCUGGGAGCCCAUGGUUUCUAUUUGUCCACCCUCUUCUAGUCUGCCCAUCUGGUGGCCACCCUACCCCAUCCUGCAAGUAGCAAAGUAAGUGUCAGUAGCUGACAACAGGGACACUGGCAGUGACCUUUGGCAGUUGACACAUAGGGGAAACAAGCAUUUGCAGAAGCUGUGGAGCUAGACGAAAGGGCUGACCAUCAGCAGGCUGGGGACGCUGAGAGUUGGGGCAGGGCGUCUCCUCAACCCUGGGCACCAGCCCCCACCGUGGGGAGUGGGAAAGCUGCUGAGAGAGGCCGGCUUGAGGCCCAUCGUUUCGGGGCAUGAAGACCAGCAGUAGACGUGCUGUGGGCAGCCCACAGCCUGCUGGCUCCGGCAGAAGCCCCUGGCCGGGCCGGCAGGGCUGAGCAGGCUCUGGGAGGCGGUGGCCCUUCACCUGCACUUUGAAGAGCAAGAGAGACCUGGCCCAGGGAGAAGGGAGAGCGCCCCUGGCAGAGCGCGGCGCCAGCAAAGGCCCGGAGACCAACGUGUGAGGGCCCAAGGGGCAGGUGACAGGUGAUGAGGAUCAAGAAAGCAGGAAAGGCCCUGGGGCCACCCUGAUGGUUUCUGGGCAGAGGCUUGGCUUGGGGAAGGCAGCGACUCUCCCUGAGGAGAGCCUUCGGGGUCACCUUGCCUGCAGCGAGCCCAGAAAGGGCAGAUGGCACCGAGGACAGAUAAUACAAAGCCUUUGCAGACUCAGAGUUUACAUCCAGCAUUCCCGUGCUCUCUGUUCAGAGGCAGCGGAGCUUGGCUGAGCACCAGGUGCCUCACUGACACCCUUUCCACCCUACUUUAUUUGUCUGUUUCCUUGUAGAAAAUUAUUUCCCCUCCCCAGACAUAUUCCCAGGCCUCAGCUUAGUCUUCCAGAUGCUUUUCCAGGCACACACAUGCCUGCAUUUUCCCUCUAAAAGGACAGUGUUGCUUUGUGUAGAAUUUCCCCUCCAUCAAUGGUAACCCUUUCCCCAUCUUGCCCUUUCCACCCAGCAGCAUAUCCUGGCAACCGGGGGAGGCCACACAUAGGUCAACCUCAUUCCUUUAAACACUGCAUGAUGGAGCUGCCAUUGUGGCUCAGUGGUAACGAACCUGACUAGUAUCCAUAAGGAUGCGGGUUCGGUCCCUGGCCUCACUCAGUGGGUUAAGGAUCCGGCGUUGCCAUGAGCUGUGGUGUAGGUCACGGAUGGGGCUCAGCUCUGGCGUUGCUGUGGCUGUGGUGUAGGCUGGCAGCUACAGCUCCAAUUCGACCCCUAGCCUGUGAACCUCCAUAUGCC
RNAcentral lists this long non-coding RNA (5531 nucleotides) under Sus scrofa (pig). Its description in RNAcentral is "lncRNA (ENSSSCG00000062646.1)". The record is from RNAcentral. Lineage: Eukaryota; Metazoa; Chordata; Mammalia; Artiodactyla; Suidae.